This 2937-nucleotide long non-coding RNA is filed under the name Pongo abelii (Sumatran orangutan). RNAcentral's name for it is "lincRNA". Lineage: Eukaryota; Metazoa; Chordata; Mammalia; Primates; Hominidae. The record is from RNAcentral.
GACACGUGGUGCCUUCAGGCUCUGGGGCCUAGGACCUUUGUGGUAGCGGAGUCACUGCAGAGAACCAGACAAUACCAGGUUGCUUAUAAAAGGAUGCCACGUGCUUGCUGGGGGUCCCAGGUGCAACCAAAUUGCUUGCAGCUAGGAGGACCUUGAAGAGAAAUGGAAUCAGCCUGCCAAACCAAGAAGGGUUAGCACUUUUGCUAGGAGAGCUGACCACGCACAAACAGAUGAGAACCAAAACCGAGUGAAGAGGAUUGAAGAUGAACCCACAUUUUAAAAGUUCUUGUCUGCUGGAGGUGGCAUUACCUGUGACCUUGCUUCACUUCUCCAUACAUGGCUGUUAUAGCAGAAAAUCCAGCUUUCUGAAGCAUAUUUAAUGACAUAUGAUGAGACUUAUGUGAUGUGAGACCUGAGAAAACUAUGAUAGAAAGAAGCAACUCAAGCUGCAAGGAUAUUCCUCAUGUAUCAUGCAAGGAUAUUCCUCAUGUAUCAUGUUUUUUCUAUCUUCUGCUCUUUGCCACCUGUGAGGUCCCUGAAAAUGAAGGCCAAUACUACCCAGAUUUGAAUAUUCUAAGAGAUUUCUCAAAAAGCUGAUAUUCAUAAUUUGAGAAGCAAUCAAGAACAAACGUGUGCUGAAAAAGUUGGUGCAAAAUCCUUAUUGACCACAGAUGGAAUUCAGUAAUUUAUAUUUCUUCGAAACAUAGAAAAACGGAAUAUUGGGAUCUGGUGGGGGGCCGGCGGCGGUCUGGGAGCGGCGCGCCAUGUACACCAUCACCAACGGGCCCAGCAAGCUGGUCGCGCAGCGCCGCACAGGUCUCACGCAGCAGCAGGUGGAGGGCCAGCUCCACGAGCUCCUGAAACGCCGGCAGCCCGCGCCGCCGACCUUGCAGCCCCAGCGGGCGCAGCCCUUCGCGCAGCCGCCGGGACCCUGGCCCCUGUCGAGUCCAGGGCCAAGGCUUGUGUUCAAUCGUGUGAAUGGCCGGCCGGCCCCCUCCAAGUCCCCAUCCCUCCAGGUGACCCAGGAGACCUACACACUGGCCCACAAGGAGAAUGUCCGCUUUGUGUCCGAAGGCUGGCAGCAGAGACUAAGGUGUCACUAUGUUCUUCAAGCUGCUCUGCUCCUGGGCCCAAACUAUUCUCCUGCCUCAGCCUCCCAAGAAGCUGAAACUACAAGAACAUGAGACUGUACCUGGCUUGCAAACACCAUUGCUAAUAAGAAGGUAUUACAUGGAUCCCUGAGGUCAGUCCCCAAUACUACAAGACAAUUUGAUAUCAUAAUAGAAUACUGCAGACACAAUGCUGAGUGAGGAAGAGUAGAAAUGGAAGACUUGGUUGAGCGGAAACUGAGUUCUUGAAAAGAGGAGAUGCUUGAUGAGGGCAUGGAUCCCUAAGGUCUGCCCCAGUACUAUAAGACAAUUUGAUGUAAGAAAACACAGCUGAUAUAAUGCUGAGUGAAGAAGAGUAUAAAUGAGAAGAUUGGUUGUGUGGAUACUGAGUUCAUGAAAGGAGGAGAUGAUUGAUGAGGCCAGGUGCAGUGACUCAUGCCUGUAAUCCCUGCACUUUGGGAGGCUGCGGCGGGCGGAUCACCUGAGGUCGGGAGUUCGAGACCAGUCUGGGAGACAGAGCAUGGAAACCUAAGGUCUGUCCCCAAAACUACAAGACUAUUUGACAUCAUAAUAAAACACUGCAGAUAUGAUGCUGAGUGAGUAAGAGUAGAAAUGGGAAGACUUGGUUGUGCAGUAACUGAGUUCUUGAAAAGAGGAGAUGCUUGAUGAGGGCAUGGAUCACGAAGGUCUGUUCCCAAUACGAGAAGACUAUUUGACAUCAUGAUAAAACACUGCAGAUACGAUGCUGAGUGAAAAAGAGUAGAAAUGGGAAGACUUGCUCGUGCAGAAACUGAGUUCUUAAAGAGAGGAGAUAGUUUAUGAGGGCUGGAGUGCACUGGAGCAAUCUUGGCUGGUCAAUACUGAGUUCUUGAAAAGAGGAGAUGCUUGAUGAGGAUGGGAUCAUCUAGUUGCAGGAAAACAAGGCUCAGGGUGCCUACUGAUUCUACAUUACGCUUGGUCCGGAGAGCUGCCUUGGACUCUCCAAUGAAUUCAAACAGCUGCCUCUGUUACCUUGACUCGUCUCAGAUUUCGUUGGCCCGAGAUGGGUCCUGGCACUAGGAAUGUAAGACUGUCUCCAUUCUUUUGGCUUGUUCCAGAGAAGCCCAUGCAAGGUUCCUACUGACCAUAUGUUUCUUUCUUUUCUUUUGUUUUUUUGAGACGGAGUUUCGCUCUUGUUGCCCAGGCUGGAGUGCAAUGGCGCGAUCUCGGCUCACUGCAACCUCCGCCUCCCGGACUCAAGAGAUUCUCCUGCCUCAGCCUCCCGAGUAGCUGGGAUUACAGGCAUGCGCCACCACGCCCGGCUAAUUUUGUAUUUCUAGUAGAGUUAGGGUUUCUCCAUGUUGGUCAGGCUGGUCUCGAACUCCCGACCUCAGGUGAUCUACCCUCCUUGGCCUCCCAAAGUGCUGGGAUUACAGGCCUGAGCCACCGCGCCCGGCCUUGACCAUAUGUUUCAUUUCUAGCUUUGAUGUCUGGGCAUCGAUUUCCCUCGGUUAAACUAUUUGCUCAAUGUUAAGGCCACUCUGUAGAAAUUUGUCUGUGUAACUGAGGUGCUAUGCAGGCCUGCCUGUGUGACUGUCAUGCAGGCCUGUCUGUGUGAUUGUCAGGGAGAAUUGGUCUGCCACAAUCCUUUUCUAAGCAUAGCCAAUAGAGGUAGUUAGGGAUAAUUUGUAUAUUACAGAAAUUGCCUUACAGAGAGUAACACAUUUCUAUACUCUCCUUCCAUAACAGACACUUAAAAAAAAAAAAAAGUAAUGUAUGCUUGCUGUGGACCUCAUUUAAGAUUGCAACAGAAGCACUUUUCAAUACUGUUAAACAGCUUUUUACUUUC